RNAcentral lists this long non-coding RNA (68 nucleotides) under Calidris pugnax (ruff). Its description in RNAcentral is "lncRNA (ENSCPUG00000001145.1)". The record is from RNAcentral. Lineage: Eukaryota; Metazoa; Chordata; Aves; Charadriiformes; Scolopacidae.
GAUUUUGGGCAGGGGCCGAGUUCGAGCAAGCACCAAAUUUUGGGGGUUUAUUUCCUUCCCCUCGCUCA